CCCCUCUCAGGGUGGCAUCUGGAGAGUUUCCAGUAUUCUACCAGUCUCAGCUACAGGAGGGAGAGUCAAAAAGAGGCCUGCCCAUUCCAUUCCUAGCUUGGGCAGUGGCUAGCGAGUGGAAGGCAAUCUGCUACAGGU
This 138-nucleotide small nucleolar RNA is filed under the name Ornithorhynchus anatinus (platypus). The record is from RNAcentral. Lineage: Eukaryota; Metazoa; Chordata; Mammalia; Monotremata; Ornithorhynchidae.